This 251-nucleotide ribosomal RNA is filed under the name uncultured bacterium. RNAcentral describes it as "partial 16S ribosomal RNA". It matches the Rfam family "Bacterial small subunit ribosomal RNA", at positions 796 to 1041 of the family's 1533-position model. The record is from RNAcentral.
CACGCUGUAAACGAUGGAUACUAGAUGUCAGUUGCAUUAAAGCAGUUGGUAUCGAAGUUAACACGAUAAGUAUCCCGCCUGGGGAGUACGGUCGCAAGAUUAAAACUCAAAGGAAUUGACGGGGGCCCGCACAAGCGGUGGAGUAUGUGGUUUAAUUCGAUGCAACGCGCAAAACCUUACCCGGACUUGACAUCCUCCUGAACGGACCUAGAAGUAGGACCGGGCCCUUCGGGGACGGGAGAGACAGGUGC